GCCAACUCCUUCUCGAGCAUAAGCCAAAUCAACUUAGCCCAAUCGACCUUCUCAAAAUGCCCUUCCUUGAUCGCUUUAGUCACACUCAAAAUAUCGUCAGUCAUCAUCCAGGUAUCUUCAUGCAACAACAACCAAGUAGACACGAAAUCCUCUAUGAAUCCUAUCGAUUCUUCGCUCUCCACCUCUACCGCACUAUCCACCUUAUCCUUUUUCGCCGGCAGACUCAAUGCACGAGCCAAGUCAGCACGACUGACCUUGAUGCGACACCCAUUGACGUAACUAUGGCGACCAGUGGGGUUAAAAUUAGCAAUCAACUGUAUAAUAAGAUCGGUGCGAAUGUUGAUAUCGAAAAGCAGGUGGACGAAGUCCCAUAAGCCAAGUCGCCUUAGGAGAGCCUCAUGGCCUCAUGGGAUGCGAAAUCAAGGGUUUUGACGGGAACAAACGGGACUGGAUUAAAGGUUCCAACAAGAAUUUCGAGCCUUUUCUGAAUCUUCUUCUCCUGGUGAUGAUGUCGUUUACUGCGUUUUGAGCCGCCUCCGCCGCGGCGAGAGGCAGUGAAAUUGGCGACGACAGAGGUGGAGUUGAAGUGGGUAUCGGAGAUUGUUGGAGAAAUAGGGGUGAUAUCU
RNAcentral lists this unclassified non-coding RNA (626 nucleotides) under Hevea brasiliensis (rubber tree). Lineage: Eukaryota; Viridiplantae; Streptophyta; Magnoliopsida; Malpighiales; Euphorbiaceae. The record is from RNAcentral.